Molecule: non-coding RNA, 29 nt
Filed under: Mus musculus (house mouse)
Lineage: Eukaryota; Metazoa; Chordata; Mammalia; Rodentia; Muridae
Source: RNAcentral
UGCCUCCCUUUGAAGAAUUAAAUGUGGGC